GACGAACGCUGGCGGCGUGCUUAACACAUGCAAGUCGAACGGAAAGGCCCUGCUUUUGUGGGGUGCUCGAGUGGCGAACGGGUGAGUAACACGUGAGUAACCUGCCCUUGACUUUGGGAUAACUUCAGGAAACUGGGGCUAAUACCGGAUAGGAGCUCCUGCUGCAUGGUGGGGGUUGGAAAGUUUCGGCGGUUGGGGAUGGACUCGCGGCUUAUCAGCUUGUUGGUGGGGUAGUGGCUUACCAAGGCAUUGACGGGUAGCCGGCCUGAGAGGGUGAACGGAAACAUUGGGACUGAGGUACGGCCCAGACUACUACGGGAGGCAGCAGUGGGGAAUAUUGCACAAUGGGCGGGAGCCUGAUGCAGCAACGCCGCGUGCGGGAUGACUGCCUUCGGGUUGUAAACCGCUUUCGCCUGUGACGAAGCGUGAGUGACGGUAAUGGGUAAAGAAGCACCGGCUAACUACGUG
Molecule: ribosomal RNA, 468 nt
Filed under: uncultured bacterium
Lineage: Bacteria
Description: partial 16S ribosomal RNA
Rfam family: Bacterial small subunit ribosomal RNA
Source: RNAcentral